MicroRNA precursor from Theobroma cacao (cacao), 117 nucleotides. The record is from Rfam. NCBI's taxonomy places the organism in Eukaryota, Viridiplantae, Streptophyta, Magnoliopsida, Malvales, Malvaceae.
UAGUAACUGUGAUAUUGGCCUGGUUCACUCAGACAUUCAAUGACAGCACUUUCUGAAGAGUAAAGCAUUUUGCUGGUUUUGGUCUGAUUGAGCCGUGCCAAUAUCUUAGAACUCUUU